UACCAUAAUACAAAAAUCAAAUCAAAUUAAUAUUGGUCUUCAUUUCAGCAUGUCAAACUUGAAUACAAUCCUGCUGUUAUGGUAUUCAAGGAUGAAAUGCAGUUCUUUUUUCCAGUACCAGAUAAAAGCGAGCUAGAAAAUGACAAAAACCUCCUCAAUGCUUCCUUGAUGGAUUGGAUCAACCAUGAGCGCUUCACAACCUUUAUUAAAGUAACUCAUGGAAAUAUUCACCAGUUAUGGAAG
Molecule: non-coding RNA, 243 nt
Organism: Cherax quadricarinatus
Lineage: Eukaryota; Metazoa; Arthropoda; Malacostraca; Decapoda; Parastacidae
Source: RefSeq, a predicted model, not a curated record